UAUAUGGCUAGACUGGAGGGUUAGGGGUCCUCUGUAAGCACACACCCCCUUUGGUGCAGUUGAAGUUCAAAAGGCGGCUUUUUAAAAAGAUUUAAGCCUAAAAAUGCAACAUGGAAGCUACGCCCUAUAGGAUUAAUGGCGAUAAAGGUUUUACUGGAGGGUAAAAUUUAAUUAUCUUUAUUUUAGGAAUGUGUCAGGCCCGGAAGGGAGCAGCUCUACUAUUAACACUUAAUGCUUGUAGACCAACGGAGUGGAGUUGUUUUUUUUAGAUCACUUUUAUUUUGGAGAUUAGUCCACUUUUGAACAUGCCUUUUU
Molecule: signal recognition particle RNA, 315 nt
Filed under: Methanobrevibacter sp.
Lineage: Archaea; Methanobacteriati; Methanobacteriota; Methanobacteria; Methanobacteriales; Methanobacteriaceae
Description: signal recognition particle sRNA
Rfam family: Archaeal signal recognition particle RNA
Source: RNAcentral